CGAGUCGAGUAGUUUGGGAAUGCUGCUCUAAAUGGGAGGUAUAUGUCUUCUAAAGCUAAAUACCGGCCAGAGACCGAUAGCGCACAAGUAGAGUGAUCGAAAGAUGAAAAGCACUUUGAAAAGAGGGUUAAAUAGUACGUGAAAUUGUUGAAAGGGAAGCGCUUGUGACCAGACUUGGGCCCGGUGGAUCAUCCAGCGUUCUCGCUGGUGCACUCCGCCGGGUUCAGGCCAGCAUCAGUUCGCCGCGGGGGAAAAAGGCUUCGGGAACGUGGCUCCUACGGGAGUGUUAUAGCCCGUUGCAUAAUACCCUGGGGCGGACUGAGGUUCGCGCUCCGCAAGGAUGCUGGCGUAAUGGUCAUCAGCGACCCGUCUUGAAACACGGACCAAGGAGAA
Molecule: ribosomal RNA, 393 nt
Filed under: uncultured Chaunopycnis
Lineage: Eukaryota; Fungi; Ascomycota; Sordariomycetes; Hypocreales; Clavicipitaceae
Description: LSU rRNA
Rfam family: Eukaryotic large subunit ribosomal RNA
Source: RNAcentral